Molecule: RNA transcript, 835 nt
Organism: Arabidopsis thaliana (thale cress)
Lineage: Eukaryota; Viridiplantae; Streptophyta; Magnoliopsida; Brassicales; Brassicaceae
Exons: 1
Source: RefSeq
UUGAUGACAUAGACUAAGGUAAUUAUAUUUUACAAAAGUAUCACUUGUAAAGAAGAUAUACAUAAUCAUGUAUGUGUUGCUGGAUUCUUCUUGUUAGAAAGAGGUGUGUUUGGUCUGACUAACACACACGGAAACUAAUAUUCAUACUUUUUAGUUGGAAUAAUCUGAUGUAGCUCAUAGGAACUUGACAAGAGAGUAUAUAGUUUUAAAGUUCAUGUUGUUGUUUAAACCCAAAAAAAAAACAAAUUCAUGCUGUUGUCACACGUAAUAUAAACCUAUUGCCAUAUGUAUAAUUUCUUAUAGCUAUCUGUUUGGUAUUAGAGUAUUUUUCGAAUUUACUCUGUAUUAACUAAUCUUUUUUUUUUAUUGUUUUGGAAAAGAAGUAUCCAAAACAAUCUGAAAAUGUGCAAGUCUUAGGUUUGAGGAAAAGGAAGAAGAAGCAAAUUGAUCAUGGUGCAGAGGCAUGAAAAAGAACUUUGCUAUAUCAGCGAGCAGCAACAACGUCUAAUGCUUCUUUUCGUGGAGAAGUAAAGUUAUUCAUUAAGGGUAUGCUUGAAUCUUCUUUCAAUAGUUUUGCCUAGAACAUCGGCAAAAGAUUGGCGAAAACGAAAGGAGGAUGUAUCUAAAAUCAAGGGAAUGAUUGCUACAUGUGGGGUUACAAGAGAAACGACUUCGACACCGUCCCAACUACUAAAAGUGCAGCAUAAUUCUUUGGUACGUAAAAAGUAGCUUUGUCCUAUGUUACCUUUGUGUGUUCUUGUUUUCUUUUCUUUGUAUUUGAUCCUAUCACUUCCAAAUCUGAUAUGUAUCUGCAUGUAUAAUUUUUUUAAUCGGC